UACACGCAUGACACACUGCAUAUCAAUAAGCGGAGGAAAAGGAAACUAACAAGGAUUCCCUUAGUAACGGCGAGUGAAGCGGGAAGAGCUCAAAUUUGAAAUCUUCAAGGUUCUACCUUGACGAAUUGUAGUUUAUAGAAGUGUUUUCUGUUAGUAGGAGUGGCAAAAGUUCUUUGGAAUAGGACAUCAUAGAGGGUGAGAAUCCCGUAUUUGACCGUUACUUUCCUAGCGUUGUGAUACACUUUCAACGAGUCGGAUUGUUUGGGAAUGCAGUCCCAAAAUGGGUGGUAAAUUUCAUCUAAAGCUAAAUAUUGGCGAGAGACCGAUAGCGAACAAGUACCGUGAGGGAAAGAUGAAAAGAACUUUGAAAAGAGAGUUAAACAGUACGUGAAAUUGUCAAAAGGGAAGCGUUUGACACCAGUGUUGUUUUUUCCGAAAAUCAAUUACGAAUGUUUUAGUUUUUAAGAAGUUAUGACUUCAUCGGCUUGCUUCUCUCUUUACUGAAACUUUCUUAAUGCACUUUUCGGUUAACAAGUCAACAUCAAUUUCUUUUGUUGUAAAAGGGUAUGAGGAAGGUGGCUUUCUUUUCGGAGAAAGUGUUUAUAGCCUUGUACCUUUGCAAUCGGAGAGAUUGAGGUCUGCAGCGUAGAUCCUUCGGGGUUAGAUACAUUUGUGCUAAGUUAUAGCUUUUCAUAGACAACUUGUUGACUAUGUUAAGUCUUGUAGCUUACUCGCUUAUGCUAUUUUACCUACGCUUAGGAUGUUGACGAGACUGUCGAUCUC
This 783-nucleotide ribosomal RNA is filed under the name uncultured Neocallimastigales. Its description in RNAcentral is "partial large subunit ribosomal RNA". It matches the Rfam family "Eukaryotic large subunit ribosomal RNA", at positions 22 to 647 of the family's 3401-position model. Lineage: Eukaryota; Fungi; Neocallimastigomycota; Neocallimastigomycetes; Neocallimastigales. The record is from RNAcentral.